This 766-nucleotide ribosomal RNA is filed under the name uncultured marine bacterium. RNAcentral's name for it is "bacterial SSU rRNA". It matches the Rfam family "Archaeal small subunit ribosomal RNA", at positions 1 to 774 of the family's 1478-position model. The record is from RNAcentral.
UUCCGGUUGAUCCUGCCGGAGGCUACCGCUAUUGGAGUUCGAUUAAGCCAUGCGAGUCGAGAGUCUUAGGGACUCGGCGCACCGCUCAGUAACACGUGGGUAACCUGCCCUAUGCUGGGGAAUAACCUCGGGAAACUGAGAAUAAUGCCCCAUAGCCCACUACGCCUGGAACGGUGAGUGGGUCAAAGCUCCGGCGGCAUAGGAUGGGCCUGCGCCGUAUCAGGUUGUAGGGGGUGUAAAGUACCCUCUAGCCAUCAACGCGUACGGGUGUUGGGAGACAUUGCCCGGAGAUGGAUUCUGAGACACGAAUCCAGACCCUACGGGGUGCAGCAGGCGCGAAAACUUGGCAAUGCGAGCAAUCGUGACCAGGGAAACUCCAAGUGCGUAGGGUAAGACCUACGCUUUUCUUGACUCUUCAAAGGUCUUGGAAUAAGGGGUGGGUAAGGACGGUGCCAGCCGCCGCGGUAAUACCGGCGCCUCAAGUGGUAGUCGCUUUUAUUGGGCCUAAAACGUCCGUAGCCGGUCUGGUGCAUUCGUGGGUAAAUCAACCCGCUCAACGGGUUGAAUUCUGCGAGCACGGCCAGACUUGGGACCGGGAAGAGGUGUGGGGUACUCUCAGGGUAGGGGGUAAAUCCUGUCAUCCUGAGAGGACACCUGUUGCGAAGGCGCCACACUAGAACGGAUCCGACGGUCAGGGACGAACCUAGGGGCACGAACCGGAUUAGAUACCCGGGUAGUCCUAGGUGUAACGCUGUGGACUUGAUGU